This 253-nucleotide ribosomal RNA is filed under the name uncultured bacterium. RNAcentral describes it as "partial 16S ribosomal RNA". It matches the Rfam family "Bacterial small subunit ribosomal RNA", at positions 524 to 776 of the family's 1533-position model. The record is from RNAcentral.
GACGAACCACACGAACGUUAUUCGGAAUUACUGGGCUUAAAGGGUGCGUAGGCUGCGCGGACAGUUGGGUGUGAAAUCCCUCGGCUUAACCGGGGAAUGGCGCCCUAAACUGUCGGGCUGGAGUGAGAUAGGGGUGUGCGGAACUUCCGGUGGAGCGGUGAAAUGUGUUGAUAUCGGAAGGAACGCCGGUGGCGAAAGCGGCACACUGGAUCUCAACUGACGCUGAGGCACGAAAGCCAGGGGAGCGAACGGG